UCGUAAGGCUCAUUUGGAGAUUGAAUUU
RNAcentral lists this non-coding RNA (28 nucleotides) under Mus musculus (house mouse). The record is from RNAcentral. Lineage: Eukaryota; Metazoa; Chordata; Mammalia; Rodentia; Muridae.